This 478-nucleotide ribosomal RNA is filed under the name uncultured bacterium. Its description in RNAcentral is "partial 16S ribosomal RNA". It matches the Rfam family "Bacterial small subunit ribosomal RNA", at positions 28 to 523 of the family's 1533-position model. The record is from RNAcentral.
GACGAACGCUGGCGGCGUGCUUAACACAUGCAAGUCGAACGGUAAGGCCCUUCGGGGUACACGAGUGGCGAACGGGUGAGUAACACGUGGGUGAUCUGCCCUGCACUUCGGGAUAAGCCUGGGAAACUGGGUCUAAUACCGGAUAGGACCCUGGGAUGCAUGUCCUGGGGUGGAAAGCUUUUGCGGUGUGGGAUGGGCCCGCGGCCUAUCAGCUUGUUGGUGGGGUGAUGGCCUACCAAGGUGACGACGGGUGGCCGGCCUGAGAGGGUGACCGGCAACACUGGGACUGAGAUACGGCCCAGACUCCUACGGGAGGCAGCAGUGGGGAAUAUUGCACAAUGGGCGCAAGCCUGAUGCAGCGACGCCGCGUGAGGGAUGACGGCCUUCGGGUUGUAAACCUCUUUCAGCACCGACGAAGCGCAAGUGACGGUAGGUGCAGAAGAAGGACCGGCCAACUACGUGCCAGCCGCCGCCGUAA